Molecule: unclassified non-coding RNA, 320 nt
Filed under: Hevea brasiliensis (rubber tree)
Lineage: Eukaryota; Viridiplantae; Streptophyta; Magnoliopsida; Malpighiales; Euphorbiaceae
Source: RNAcentral
GGAUUAGGAAGUUCUUCAACCUUGUUACUUUCUUCCUUAAACGAAUUGGAUUCACCAACAAGUUCCUUCUCCUUUUCAUCCUCAACCUUCGAUUCUCCAGUGACCGGAGCAGCAUCUUUCUCCGGUGACUCCGGCAAAGUUUCCGGCUCAGGUUGAGGUGUCUCCCUCACUGUAACAUCAGACACCACCACUUCAGGGGUGGUUUCUUCAGCUAUUUUCUUGGUUUCCUCAGCCAUUUCUUGGUUUCCCGAUCAGAUUUCAGAUACCCAGAAACGAAAAAGGCUUAAAGAAUGGAUUUUUAUUAAUGUAUAGAAGAAUUG